Xenopus tropicalis (tropical clawed frog) is the source of this 633-nucleotide long non-coding RNA. RefSeq lists it as uncharacterized. The record is from RefSeq and is a predicted model, not a curated record. The transcript has 3 exons. Lineage: Eukaryota; Metazoa; Chordata; Amphibia; Anura; Pipidae.
CAUGGAAACACAUAGAUUUCUACUAUUUUUAAUUUUUUUUAUAAUAUUUUUAAUACAUUCAACUGCAUAUCCAACUACAGGUAAACAGUUGUUUUACAGAAUAUUUAUCAAUUUAGAACUAAUUUGCAAGUGAAUACGCAAUAUUAAUGUUUCUGUGAACUACCAAUCCCAUUAUCUGUAUUAAUACUUUAUAUUAACUGAAUGUAUGUAACUGAGUGCUAAUUCCUACCAUACAGUGAGAUAUUUUUUGAAAAAAACAAAUACAUAUAAAUCAAUUGACUUAAUUAAAAUAUUCAUUUGCAAAAACUGGAAGCAGCUGUGGGAUUUAUGAUUAAGGAAUAAUGAGUUGUUCCCUCUCUUGCAGAAUCAACUCUAAAUAAUGAUGAAGACGAUGAUGCUUAUAUAGAUGAAGUUACUACUGGUGAGAUAUAAACUCAUUUUUGCCCAUUUCAUCUAUACUUAUUUAUGGUGAAGUUAUAGAAGGAUUUAAUUCAUCUUUUUUCUUUUCAUUGCAGUAGAAAAUUCAUUUGCACAGAUUGAAACAGAUGAAGAGCGCACAAAUAAAAAAAGAAAAGAAAACAUCACUCCUGUUGAUGAAGGAGACGAUGAAGUGAAGUGCAUUCCAGAUGAACC